RNAcentral lists this ribosomal RNA (1373 nucleotides) under uncultured bacterium. RNAcentral's name for it is "bacterial SSU rRNA". It matches the Rfam family "Bacterial small subunit ribosomal RNA", at positions 28 to 1381 of the family's 1533-position model. The record is from RNAcentral.
GAUGAACGCUGGCGGCGUGCCUAAUACAUGCAAGUCGAGCGAACGGACGAGAAGCUUGCUUCUCUGAUGUUAGCGGCGGACGGGUGAGUAACACGUGGAUAACCUACCUAUAAGACUGGGAUAACUUCGGGAAACCGGAGCUAAUACCGGAUAAUAUUUUGAACCGCAUGGUUCAAAAGUGAAAGACGGUCUUGCUGUCACUUAUAGAUGGAUCCGCGCUGCAUUAGCUAGUUGGUAAGGUAACGGCUUACCAAGGCAACGAUGCAUAGCCGGCCUGAGAGGGUGAUCGGCCACACUGGAACUGAGACACGGUCCAGACUCCUACGGGAGGCAGCAGUAGGGAAUCUUCCGCAAUGGGCGAAAGCCUGACGGAGCAACGCCGCGUGAGUGAUGAAGGUCUUCGGAUCGUAAAACUCUGUUAUUAGGGAAGAACAUAUGUGUAAGUAACUGUGCACAUCUUGACGGUACCUAAUCAGAAAGCCACGGCUAACUACGUGCCAGCAGCCGCGGUAAUACGUAGGUGGCAAGCGUUAUCCGGAAUUAUUGGGCGUAAAGCGCGCGUAGGCGGUUUUUUAAGUCUGAUGUGAAAGCCCACGGCUCAACCGUGGAGGGUCAUUGGAAACUGGAAAACUUGAGUGCAGAAGAGGAAAGUGGAAUUCCAUGUGUAGCGGUGAAAUGCGCAGAGAUAUGGAGGAACACCAGUGGCGAAGGCGACUUUCUGGUCUGUAACUGACGCUGAUGUGCGAAAGCGUGGGGAUCAAACAGGAUUAGAUACCCUGGUAGUCCACGCCGUAAACGAUGAGUGCUAAGUGUUAGGGGGUUUCCGCCCCUUAGUGCUGCAGCUAACGCAUUAAGCACUCCGCCUGGGGAGUACGACCGCAAGGUUGAAACUCAAAGGAAUUGACGGGGACCCGCACAAGCGGUGGAGCAUGUGGUUUAAUUCGAAGCAACGCGAAGAACCUUACCAAAUCUUGACAUCCUUUGACAACUCUAGAGAUAGAGCCUUCCCCUUCGGGGGGGCAAAGUGACAGGUGGUGCAUGGUUGUCGUCAGCUCGUGUCGUGAGAUGUUGGGUUAAGUCCCGCAACGAGCGCAACCCUUAAGCUUAGUUGCCAUCAUUAAGUUGGGCACUCUAAGUUGACUGCCGGUGACAAACCGGAGGAAGGUGGGGAUGACGUCAAAUCAUCAUGCCCCUUAUGAUUUGGGCUACACACGUGCUACAAUGGACAAUACAAAGGGCAGCGAAACCGCGAGGUCAAGCAAAUCCCAUAAAGUUGUUCUCAGUUCGGAUUGUAGUCUGCAACUCGACUACAUGAAGCUGGAAUCGCUAGUAAUCGUAGAUCAGCAUGCUACGGUGAAUACGUUCCCGGGUCU